UGAUGUCAAAACUUAAACUGCUCGAUCCGUGAGAUGUAGUGAGAAUUAGGCAAUUUAGAUUACAUAUCCAUGAUCCUGGCACUUAGACCUUUCCAAUGGUUACCUGCUUGCAAAUUUUGGUGAAGUUUCGUGGUUUUGGAUUUCUGGAAAUUAGGGAUGAAGAUGAUGAUGUUCUUGGUGAAAUCUGGAAAAAUAGCUU
Molecule: long non-coding RNA, 199 nt
Filed under: Lathyrus oleraceus (garden pea)
Lineage: Eukaryota; Viridiplantae; Streptophyta; Magnoliopsida; Fabales; Fabaceae
Description: Pisum sativum (pea) long non-coding RNA (PSAT_LNC007869)
Source: RNAcentral